Molecule: transfer RNA, 79 nt
Filed under: Apiotrichum porosum
Lineage: Eukaryota; Fungi; Basidiomycota; Tremellomycetes; Trichosporonales; Trichosporonaceae
Description: tRNA-Asp
Rfam family: tRNA
About the family: Transfer RNA (tRNA) molecules are approximately 80 nucleotides in length. Their secondary structure includes four short double-helical elements and three loops (D, anti-codon, and T loops).
Source: RNAcentral
UUCUUGUUCGUAUAACGGUCAGUAUGCUCGCUUGUCAUUCAUUGCGCGGGAGAUCGGGGUUCGAUUCCCCGACAGGAAG